ACCCCAAAGCUGGAAGGAUCUGGUUC
This 26-nucleotide non-coding RNA is filed under the name Homo sapiens (human). The record is from RNAcentral. Lineage: Eukaryota; Metazoa; Chordata; Mammalia; Primates; Hominidae.